UACGUCGGGGGCAAGCGUUGUCCGGAUUUAUUGGGCGUACAGAGCGUGUAGGCGGCCAGGUAGGUCGGUUGUGAAAACUGGAGGCUUAACCUCCAGACGUCGACCGAAUCCAUCUGGCUAGAGUCCGGAAGAGGAGAGUGGAAUUCCUGGUGUAGCGGUGAAAUGCGCAGAUAUCAGGAAGAACACCCGUGGCUAAGGCGGCUCUCUAGUACGGUACUGACGCUGAGCCGCGAAAGCGUGGGGAGCGACCAGG
RNAcentral lists this ribosomal RNA (253 nucleotides) under uncultured bacterium. RNAcentral describes it as "partial 16S ribosomal RNA". It matches the Rfam family "Bacterial small subunit ribosomal RNA", at positions 524 to 776 of the family's 1533-position model. The record is from RNAcentral.